This 71-nucleotide transfer RNA is filed under the name Loxodonta africana (African savanna elephant). It matches the Rfam family "tRNA". From Rfam's summary of the family: Transfer RNA (tRNA) molecules are approximately 80 nucleotides in length. The record is from Rfam by way of RNAcentral. Lineage: Eukaryota; Metazoa; Chordata; Mammalia; Proboscidea; Elephantidae.
GCAGUGGUGGCUCAGUAACAGAAUUCUCGCUUUCACUGAGGGAGACCUGGGUUCGAUUCCCGGCCAAUGCA